This 750-nucleotide ribosomal RNA is filed under the name Microbacterium sp. STS64. Its description in RNAcentral is "bacterial SSU rRNA". It matches the Rfam family "Bacterial small subunit ribosomal RNA", at positions 625 to 1374 of the family's 1533-position model. The record is from RNAcentral. Lineage: Bacteria; Bacillati; Actinomycetota; Actinomycetes; Micrococcales; Microbacteriaceae.
AGUGGGUACGGGCAGACUAGAGUGCGGUAGGGGAGAUUGGAAUUCCUGGUGUAGCGGUGGAAUGCGCAGAUAUCAGGAGGAACACCGAUGGCGAAGGCAGAUCUCUGGGCCGUAACUGACGCUGAGGAGCGAAAGGGUGGGGAGCAAACAGGCUUAGAUACCCUGGUAGUCCACCCCGUAAACGUUGGGAACUAGUUGUGGGGUCCAUUCCACGGAUUCCGUGACGCAGCUAACGCAUUAAGUUCCCCGCCUGGGGAGUACGGCCGCAAGGCUAAAACUCAAAGGAAUUGACGGGGACCCGCACAAGCGGCGGAGCAUGCGGAUUAAUUCGAUGCAACGCGAAGAACCUUACCAAGGCUUGACAUAUAGAGGAAACGUCUGGAAACAGUCGCCCCGCAAGGUCUCUAUACAGGUGGUGCAUGGUUGUCGUCAGCUCGUGUCGUGAGAUGUUGGGUUAAGUCCCGCAACGAGCGCAACCCUCGUUCUAUGUUGCCAGCACGUAAUGGUGGGAACUCAUGGGAUACUGCCGGGGUCAACUCGGAGGAAGGUGGGGAUGACGUCAAAUCAUCAUGCCCCUUAUGUCUUGGGCUUCACGCAUGCUACAAUGGCCGGUACAAAGGGCUGCAAUACCGUGAGGUGGAGCGAAUCCCAAAAAGCCGGUCCCAGUUCGGAUUGAGGUCUGCAACUCGACCUCAUGAAGUCGGAGUCGCUAGUAAUCGCAGAUCAGCAACGCUGCGGUGAAUACGUUCC